CCUGAGAAAGGGGUUGAUGUGGGUACAAUUACAAUACUUAAAAGAUAUUUGGAUAAACAGGUGAAUAGGGAAGGGUUGGAGUGAUAUGGACCUUCUUCA
Non-coding RNA from Chiloscyllium plagiosum (whitespotted bambooshark), 99 nucleotides. Lineage: Eukaryota; Metazoa; Chordata; Chondrichthyes; Orectolobiformes; Hemiscylliidae. The record is from RefSeq and is a predicted model, not a curated record.